Molecule: long non-coding RNA, 760 nt
Organism: Onychostoma macrolepis
Lineage: Eukaryota; Metazoa; Chordata; Actinopteri; Cypriniformes; Cyprinidae
Exons: 5
Source: RefSeq, a predicted model, not a curated record
GGAAGUCAAAGCAGGCUUUGUCCAAGUUCUUGAAACCAAGAACAGAGGCACAGUUACGGAUUUCCAGCACGUUCUCUUUGGUGAAGAUGAGUUUUGAAGUGUAGGCAAAGUCCAGCAAGGGUUCAAAUCCCUCUGAGGAAGGUUGAUGAUAAUUCCUUCAGGUGUAUGACUGGACAAACGAGUGCUGAAAUAAUCACUGCAGGACGCCAGAACUGCCCCAUGGGCCCGAUAACUCUGGGUCUCUGCCACAACUGUCACGUCACACAGAAGAUCUUUCUUCCUCUGCUCAUUCAGACAUUGCAGAAUGUGGGAACUGUGCACAGACGACUGGAAGGCUGGCGAUUUCAUGUUUGACCUGGUUGAACUCAUUGGCCAUCUUGCAGUGGUUUCUGUACACUUCUAUGGACUCCUUUAGAGACCGACACGGCAGCACCGGCUAGUGAGGAAGAUUGUCUUCUACAUCCUGGAAUAUACACAGAAUCGUCAUACGGCCUGACAAGAGGGUUUCAAUCAAUAGAUGAAACAUAAUAUGUGGAAACAGUUUGCGUUGCUCAAGGUCAGGGAAUGAUGGAAGGGGAUCCUCUGCAUCUUUCAACUCUGAGAGGAAAAGAAAGCCAGAUGAACAUGUCUGGUAAGAGAAUGCUAAUGUUUAAGAUCUUUACUCCAAGGCCUUAGUGGUGACAUCUACAUCCAUCUAAUCAGCUAAAUCAUACCACAGUGCACAUGACACCACAGCAUGUCCAUUUAGCUGUUAGCUAUU